AACGACUCUCGGCAACGGAUAUCUCGGCUCUCGCAUCGAUGAAGAACGUAGCGAAAUGCGAUACUUGGUGUGAAUUGCAGAAUCCCCGUGAACCAUCGAGUCUUUGAACGCAAGUUGCGCCCGAAGCCUUCCGGCCGAGGGCACGUCUGCCUGGGCGUCACGC
This 163-nucleotide ribosomal RNA is filed under the name Opuntia cochenillifera. RNAcentral describes it as "Nopalea cochenillifera 5.8S ribosomal RNA". It matches the Rfam family "5.8S ribosomal RNA". Rfam says of the family: 5.8S ribosomal RNA (5.8S rRNA) is a component of the large subunit of the eukaryotic ribosome. It is transcribed by RNA polymerase I as part of the 45S precursor that also contains 18S and 28S rRNA. Functionally, it is thought that 5.8S rRNA may be involved in ribosome translocation. Lineage: Eukaryota; Viridiplantae; Streptophyta; Magnoliopsida; Caryophyllales; Cactaceae. The record is from RNAcentral.